This 478-nucleotide ribosomal RNA is filed under the name uncultured bacterium. RNAcentral's name for it is "bacterial SSU rRNA". It matches the Rfam family "Bacterial small subunit ribosomal RNA", at positions 28 to 507 of the family's 1533-position model. The record is from RNAcentral.
AAUGAACGUUGGCGGCGUGGAUUAGGCAUGCGAGUCGUACGCGAACCCGCAAGGGGGAGAGUGGCGAACGGGGUAGUAAGGCGUAGGUAACUUGCCCUGCGGUCGGGGAUAGCCAAGGGAAACUUUGGGUAAUACCCGAUAAUCCUUUCAGCUGGAAGGCUGGAUAGGCAAAGGUGUGAUUCCACCACAGGAGAGGCUUGCGUGAUAUUAGCUAGUUGGUGAGGUAACGGCUCACCAAGGCUGCGAUGUCUAGGGGAUGUUAGCGCAUGAUCCCCACCACUGGGACUGAGACACUGCCCAGACACCUACGGGUGGCUGCAGUCGAGAAUCUUCGGCAAUGGGGGCAACCCUGACCGAGCGACGCCGCGUGUGGGAUGAAGGCCCUUGGGUCGUAAACCACUGUCAGAGGGGAUGAAGUGCAUGGGGGUUCUCCCCCGUGUUUGACAGAGCCUCGGAGGAAGCACGGGCUAAGUUCGUG